UCCUACGGGGCGCAGCAGUAGGGAAUUUUCGUCAAUGGGCGCAAGCCUGAACGAGCAAUGCCGCGUGAACGAGGAAGGUUUUCGGAUCGUAAAGUUCUGUUGAAGGGGAAAAAGAGCGGAGAGAGGAAAUGGUCUCCGAUUGAUAUUACCCUUCGAGGAAGUCACGGCUAACUACGUGCCAGCAGCCGCGGUAAUACGUAGGUGGCGAGCGUUAUCCGGAAUGAUUGGGCGUAAAGGGUGCGUAGGCGGCCUGCUAAGUCUGGAGUGAAAGGUACCGGCUCAACCGGUCCAGGCACUGGAAACUG
This 305-nucleotide ribosomal RNA is filed under the name uncultured bacterium. RNAcentral's name for it is "bacterial SSU rRNA". It matches the Rfam family "Bacterial small subunit ribosomal RNA", at positions 337 to 635 of the family's 1533-position model. The record is from RNAcentral.